CAUGUCUUUUUGAUUAUAAUUUAAAGUCUAACCUGCCCUAUGAAUAAUUUAAAUGGCUGCGGUAUUUUGACCGUACAAAGGUAGCAUAAUAAUUAGUUUUUUAAUUGGGAACUGGUAUGAAUGGUUGAACGAGAAAAAGACUGUCUCAAUUUAAUUUAAAUUAGAAUUUUAUUUUUAAGUUAAAAAGCUUAAAUAUUUUUAAAAGACGAGAAGACCCUAUAGAGUUUUAUAUAAAAUUAUAAUUAUUUAAGAAUUUAGGUAUUAUAAGUUUAUUUAAUUUAUUUUAUAUUUGGUUGGGGUGAUUAAAAAAUUGAAAAAACUUUUUUUAUAAAUUUAACAUUGAUUUAUGAUUAAAUGAUCCAUAUUUUGUGAUUAUAAGAUUAAAUUACCUUAGGGAUAACAGCGUAAUUUUUUUUUAGAGUUCUUAUCGAAAAAAAAGUUUGCGACC
RNAcentral lists this ribosomal RNA (448 nucleotides) under Eurysternus plebejus. Its description in RNAcentral is "partial 16S ribosomal RNA". Lineage: Eukaryota; Metazoa; Arthropoda; Insecta; Coleoptera; Scarabaeidae. The record is from RNAcentral.